CAGCAGCCGCGGUAAUACGUAGGUGGCAAGCGUUGUCCGGAAUUAUUGGGCGUAAAGCGCGCGCAGGUGGUUUAAUAAGUCUGAUGUGAAAGCCCCCGGCUCAACCGGGGAGGGUCAUUGGAAACUGGGAAACUUGAGUGCAGAAGAGGAGAGUGGAAUUCCAUGUGUAGCGGUGAAAUGCGCAGAGAUAUGGAGGAACACCAGUGGCGAAGGCGACUUUCUGGUCUGUAACUGACGCUGAUGUGCGAAAGCGUGGGGAUCAAACAGGAUUAGAUACCCGAGUAGUCCCUGUCUCUUAUAC
This 301-nucleotide ribosomal RNA is filed under the name uncultured bacterium. RNAcentral's name for it is "partial 16S ribosomal RNA". It matches the Rfam family "Bacterial small subunit ribosomal RNA", at positions 509 to 807 of the family's 1533-position model. The record is from RNAcentral.